UCAUUCACUCUUUACUCUUUAAUCAGAACAAUUCCAUAGCCUCUGUCCUUAAGGCUUUGUUUAGUUAGAGAGGAGGGGAGGGAGAUCUGAAUCCCUCCAAAUUUUCCCUCCCCUCUAACCAAACGCUACCUACGUAUUUUCCUAUUCAACUUCUCUUGGCCUCUCCAAUCUCCAUUAGCAAGUUCAUAUGUUCACUUACUUCCCUUAGUUGCUUUGAAUUUUGUCUGCUACUCAACCUUCGCUUCUCUAAUAUCCUCUAUGUUUCAUGCAUUUGCACUAGGCACCCCUACAUGUCCGUCCAUAGGUGGGGAUGCGGAAGAUGAUCCUUCAAUCGUCCUUUUCUGGUGGGAGUCAACCGUUCAUGACUGUCAACGGGCACUUCCAUCCACUCAACACGAUGGCGGAAGCUUCAUAAACCAAGGGCAAGAUUGGAAUCCACAUUUUAAUCCAAGACCUUCACCACCUUACCAUCCGAACCCACGAUGAUGGAGAAGCCUCCGUAGCUACUCACCCUUCACUCUGCGACAGAUCUAUAUUCAACCUUCCAUGACCCUGUUGAAUCAAGUGGCUGAACCCGUUAACAUUGUCGCUGCGCCUAGGAUCUCCACUUCCAUUUAUGGGUUCCGACAUGGCUUCCAGUGAUUAGUGUCAAGUGAACACAGUUUUGUGAUGUCGACAAUGAGGUAAUGUACAAUUUGCGAGUUCUCUGUGUAUUGUCCUUUCAUUAUAUUGUUGCUGCUGCUCAUAUUUUGGUGAGGAAUGCGUAGGUGAUGCAAUUAGAUGUGGGACGGAUGGUUGCCUCCGUGAUCCUUAUUCGAACUGCACUGUGUUAAAAUCGGAGAGAUGUUUUGUACUCUGUAUUUCGUUUCCUUUUGAAUGAAUUUUCCCUUUUCAUUAAAAAAAUUAAAACUAUUUAUAAAAUAAAGUCAGAGAAGUCUGGAAUAUAUGAAGAAUUAUUUAUGGUAUUGAUAGUAGGGGCCUGGUUUGCCACCAUCAGUGGACAUGGAUUCAAUCUUCAUUCUGGCAUUUUCUAUUGAGGGUCAUAUGAUUGUCCCAACAAUUCGUUUUCUUUUUGAACAUUUUUAAUGCAUGUUGAAUCAUUAAGUAGUCCUAUAGUUGUAUGUGUACUGUGAAAAAAGGGAGGACAUAUAGGUAAGGAAUUAUAGCUAUGAUGAGCCUCUUUCCCGUUAUAUUAAUUUACAUUACCGCUAUUUUGUAAAUUGCUUUUGCCCUUAAAUAUCAUCUAGAGAUGUGCUAAUAAAGCUUGCUGCUAUGGUACAAUGAUGAUGCGUUUGGUAAGGCUGUACAGUAGUAGCCAGUUUGAGGCUUAAUCAUUGUGGUGUAAUGUACCUGAAAGUAUCUUCAAGUUUGGAAUCUGUCAAAUUCGUUUUGGUAUGAUAUACCAUUAUUACAAAUAUAAUCGUAUUAUAUCUGGCAAAACUAUACCAUUGUAAGCUGACAUUCGCAAAGAUUUUCACUAGACGGUAAUGUUGCAAGGAUCAAAAAAUGACUGCUGGGAUUGUACACUCUGUUGACAUUCAUCCAUCAUGAAAGCACACUUGUCUAGUAAGAUGGUUAUCCCACUUCCCCUUAUUUCUUAUCGUGUUAAGACUUCUAUUUUGAUCAAUGUGAGCCACUAAUGUUUAUUUUCAUUAUUUAGUGUUUAAAUGCAUAUUAUUCUACAAAUAAUCAUUUCUUUUAAAGGUGUAAUAAUCUUGUAAGUUUUCAAUUACAAGUAUGAUAUUAUGCCAUGACAGUUACGAUAUGCUUCCAUCUCUACUGUAAUCUAACUAUUGCUUUGUGAGACUUUUUGUGAACUAUUACAAUAACUAUUGCUAUGACUUCACAGCAAGCUCAAAACUUUCUUUAAUAAAGUUAAACGUUAGAUGUUAUAUGAAGUUUUAACUACUGUUUGAAAAAGGCCAUUGCUUUUCUUUUGGUCCUUACCACCAAGUUCUAACAUUUCUGGAAUUGUAGUUUUUUUACCAGGCAACUGGUUCCUUAAGUACUCUUUUUGCCUGGUGUCUCAAGUGGCAGCAGCAGCCUAUUAUUCUUUCAAGGGCAAGGACGGGAGUGAAACAACGAAGUCCACUUACCAUUUGAAAGUGAGGCUUGGGAGGUUUAGUAUGAUCAUAACACUAAGUCUAACAUGCCAUCCAUGGAUCAACCUGGAUCUUAUCUGCCAUGAUCUGCUCAGAGGAUGGAUUCCUUGCUGUCAUUAAGCAUGGUUUGGUGGAAAGAGUAGGCAAACAAGCAAGGAGCAAGAAAACUCAAUAGCAUACAUUUUUUCCUUCCUAGAUUUAGUGACUUUCAUUUACGAAGAUACUGGAAUUUUGUUGAUUAUAUAGUUCAAAUAUAGAAAAUCACUUGCAAUUGA
This is a long non-coding RNA of Prosopis cineraria, 2377 nucleotides long. RefSeq lists it as uncharacterized. The transcript is spliced from 2 exons. The record is from RefSeq and is a predicted model, not a curated record. Lineage: Eukaryota; Viridiplantae; Streptophyta; Magnoliopsida; Fabales; Fabaceae.